Long non-coding RNA from Bos taurus (domestic cattle), 651 nucleotides. Lineage: Eukaryota; Metazoa; Chordata; Mammalia; Artiodactyla; Bovidae. The record is from Ensembl.
GCCAACCGCUAGCACUUCCCACGGAAUCCUGCCUCACUCUUGCCCGUCCAGCCUGCACCCCGAUGCUUCUGGGGCUUUCAUCGACCCGCGGGCUUGACCAGAGAUGUCCCUGGGUGGGAAUGAACUUUGUACCCCGCUCCAGGGUUGCUGAGACUCGGCUUCCCCUGACCCCUGACCUGGUGGGCCAGGCUGGAAGCCAGGCGCUCACUCUCGCAGCCCUGCUCCAGUCAGCGCAGGAUAUAUACAAGCUGGAGACGAAGGAGGCUCUCGGAUCCUCCGGGUGACCUCGCCCAGCGGGGGUUGCAUGUCAUUGGGCCAGGAGGGGUCAAAGGCCGAGACAGCGGAGACACUCUAAGUCCGGAAAGGAAUUCCACUGCAACAGCCGCUCUCUGAGGCUGAAUCGAGGCCAAAUGACAUUUAAUGAGGCAGUGAUUCCUCACAGGGCCCUGGGGCUCGCACCCUCUAAGCCCUCUCUCAAGAAGCUUUCCUUGGGACUUUCUGGCCUGAUCCCUGGUAGGGGAACUAGAAUCCAACGUGCUUCGGAGCAACUAAAUCUGAGUGCUGCAAAUAAAGAGUCCGUGAGGCGCCACAAAGAUUCUGCGUGCUGCCAUGAAGACCCGACUCAACCAAAUAAACAAAUAGAGGAAAAAA